GAUGAAGAACGCAGUGAAAUGCGAUAAGUAAUGUGAAUUGCAGAAUUCAGUGAAUCAUCGAAUCUUUGAACGCACCUUGCGCCCUUUGGCCAUUCCGAAGGGCAUGCCUGUUUGAGUAUCAUGAACACCUCAACUCUUCAUGGUUUUCCAUGAUGAGCUUGGACUUUGGGGGUCUUGCUGGCCUACGGUCGGCUCCUCUAAAAUAAAUCAGCUUGCCAGUGUUUGGUGGGUAUCGCAGGUGUGAUAACUAUCUACGCUUGUGGUUUUCCACCAAGUAACCUUCAGCAGUGGAGGUUCACUGGAGCUCACAGAUGUGUCUCUCCUCAGUGAGGGAUAGCUCUUUGAAUGUUUGAUCUCAAAUCAGGUAGGACUACCCGCUGAACUUAAGCAUAUCAAUAAGCGGAGGA
RNAcentral lists this unclassified non-coding RNA (407 nucleotides) under soil metagenome. Its description in RNAcentral is "partial contains 5.8S ribosomal RNA, internal transcribed spacer 2, and large subunit ribosomal RNA". The stretch from base 1 to 121 matches the Rfam family "5.8S ribosomal RNA", at positions 35 to 154 of the family's 154-position model. The record is from RNAcentral.